RNAcentral lists this ribosomal RNA (1197 nucleotides) under Antarctic bacterium 'culture 7'. Its description in RNAcentral is "bacterial SSU rRNA". It matches the Rfam family "Bacterial small subunit ribosomal RNA", at positions 94 to 1349 of the family's 1533-position model. The record is from RNAcentral.
AGCGGCGGACGGGUGAGUAAUACUAGGAAUCUACCUGUAGUGGGGGAUAGCACGGGGAAACCGUAUAAUACCGCAUACGCCUACGGGGAAAGGGGGCAGUUUACUGCUCUCGCUAUUAGAUGAGCCUAGUCGGAUUAGCUAGAUGGUGGGGUAAAGGCUACCAUGGCGACGAUCUGUAGCUGGUCUGAGAGGAUGAUCAGCCACACCGGGACUGAGACACGGCCCGGACUCCUACGGGAGGCAGCAGUGGGGAAUAUUGGACAAUGGGGGAAACCCUGAUCCAGCCAUGCCGCGUGUGUGAAGAAGGCCUUUUGGUUGUAAAGCACUUUAAGCGUGAAGAAGACUCUGGUUAAUACCCGACGUGACAUUAGCGCAGAAUAAGCACCGGCUAACUCUGUGCCAGCAGCCGCGGUAAUACAGAGGGUGCAAGCGUUAAUCGGAAUUACUGGGCGUAAAGGGGCGUAGGUGGCUNUAAGUCAGAUGUGAAAUCCCCGGGCUCAACCUGGGAACUGCAUUGAUACUGAGCUAGAGUUGUGAGAGGGAGGUAGAAUUUCAGUGUAGCGGUGAAAUGCGUAGAGAUUGAAGGAAUACCGAUGGCGAAGGCAGCCCCUGGCAACUGACACUGAGGCCGAAAGCGUGGGUAGCAAACAGGAUUAGAUACCCUGGUAGUCCACGCCGUAAACGAUGUCUACUAGGUUGGGCCUUGAGCUUAGUGCGCAGCUAACGCAUAAGUAGACCGCCUGGGGAGUACGGCCGCAAGGUUAAAACUCAAAUGAAUUGACGGGGGCCCGCACAAGCGGUGGAGCAUGUGGUUUAAUUCGAUGCAACGCGAAGAACCUUACCUGGUCUUGACAUAUCUGAACUCAGAGAUGCGGUGCCUUCGGGAAUAAAUACAGGUGCUGCAUGGCUGUCGUCAGCUCGUGUCGUGAGAUGUUGGGUUAAGUCCCGCAACGAGCGCAACCCUUGUCCUUAGUUACCAGCGGGUUAAGCCGGGACUCUAAGGAUACUGCCAGUGACAAACUGGAGGAAGGCGGGGACGACGUCAAGUCAUCAUGGCCCUUACGACCAGGGCUACACACGUGCUACAAUGGUGUACAGAGGGAGCACCAGCGAUGUGAUGCAAUCUCAAAAGCUCGUAGUCCAGAUUGGAGUCUGCAACUCGACUCCAUGAAGUAGGAAUCGCUAGUAAUCGCGAUC